This 517-nucleotide ribosomal RNA is filed under the name uncultured Actinomycetes bacterium. RNAcentral describes it as "bacterial SSU rRNA". It matches the Rfam family "Bacterial small subunit ribosomal RNA", at positions 369 to 896 of the family's 1533-position model. Lineage: Bacteria; Bacillati; Actinomycetota; Actinomycetes. The record is from RNAcentral.
CAAUGGGCGAAAGCCUGAUGCAGCGACGCCGCGUGAGGGAUGAAGGCCUUCGGGUUGUAAACCUCUUUCAGUAGGGAAGAAGCGAAAGUGACGGUACCUACAGAAGAAGCACCGGCUAACUACGUGCCAGCAGCCGCGGUAAUACGUAGGGUGCGAGCGUUGUCCGGAAUUAUUGGGCGUAAAGAGCUUGUAGGCGGUUUGUCGCGUCUGCCGUGAAAAUCCGGGGCUCAACUCCGGACUUGCGGUGGGUACGGGCAGACUAGAGUGUGGUAGGGGAGACUGGAAUUCCUGGUGUAGCGGUGAAACGCGCAGAUAUCAGGAGGAACACCGAUGGCGAAGGCAGGUCUCUGGGCCACUACUGACGCUGAGAAGCGAAAGCGUGGGGAGCGAACAGGAUUAGAUACCCUGGUAGUCCACGCCGUAAACGUUGGGAACUAGGUGUGGGUCUCAUUCCACGAGAUCCGUGCCGCAGCUAACGCAUUAAGUUCCCCGCCUAGGGAGUACGGCCGCAAGGCUA